Molecule: non-coding RNA, 103 nt
Filed under: Prochlorococcus marinus
Lineage: Bacteria; Bacillati; Cyanobacteriota; Cyanophyceae; Synechococcales; Prochlorococcaceae
Also listed under: 1 other name
Description: TPP sequence
Rfam family: TPP riboswitch aptamer (THI element)
About the family: Vitamin B(1) in its active form thiamin pyrophosphate (TPP) is an essential coenzyme that is synthesised by coupling of pyrimidine and thiazole moieties in bacteria. The previously detected thiamin-regulatory element, thi box was extended, resulting in a new, highly conserved RNA secondary structure, the THI element, which is widely distributed in eubacteria and also occurs in some archaea.
Source: RNAcentral
AAAUAUCACUAGGGGUGCCUACAAGCUAUUGCUUUUGGCUGAGAUCACACCCUCUGAACCUGAUUCGGUUUAUACCGUCGAAGGAAAGUGAAAGAGAGUGAUC